Molecule: long non-coding RNA, 3685 nt
Organism: Orcinus orca (killer whale)
Lineage: Eukaryota; Metazoa; Chordata; Mammalia; Artiodactyla; Delphinidae
Exons: 7
Source: RefSeq, a predicted model, not a curated record
ACCUUGUUCUUCAGCUUGUUUUGGAUCCAGGGAUCAGUCGAGGCCAAAAGAAUUAAUGUUUCUUGUAGCUGCAUUGAAACAAAGGCCCUGUGGCUGGCUCACUUCAGGCCAGUGCUGGGAGGGGAGGGGGAGCUCUGUCUACAGGCCCUUCUGGUCCCAGGGAAUGAGGUCAAGGGGACAGUGUCUACGGGCGUAUUCCCCUCUCCUCCCCUCUGACAAAGAGCACGUGGCGUGAGGAUAGGUGGGAGAGGCUUGGAGGAAGGGUUGAGAAGAGGUGGGCGGGGAUGCCUUACGCUCUUUUUCACAGACGGGCUCUUUUCCACAUCCAGCAUGUCUAGGACCAGGUGGAACACUUGUGGGCUGCGGAUCCCCAGGACACCCUGGCAGAGGCAGGAUGAGGGCGCCUAAAUAGCCGGCCCCAGGAAGUUGCCCUGUCUACACUCUUCCAUUCUAGUGCCCUUGUAAUGACCCUGUGCCUGGAGAGGAGAUAUGGCUUCGCAGCAGAGUAACUGCUGGACUGCCUGCUCCCCCUGCCAUCAAAACAUCUGGUCAGAGUAGCAGAGCUGGCCUUACCAAAGAGAUGACUGCUUCCUGGCGUGCAGUGGCAUUUGAGCUCAUCAGUUGCCUGGAGAAGGGACCUAGGAUUUGGCCCUGGCAGUUCCCAGCCCAAGCCACUCACGCCUCCACCAAGUUCAUCAUUGUGGGCUUCAUCUUGAGCUCUUCCACAGUUUCAGCAACAGCCUGCCUCAUAGCCUGAAGAGGGAUUAAGAAAGGAAAGUACUUUUCUGGAUAUCAAAUACGCUGAGUUGGGACACGAGCUGAGGACAGAGCUGAGGGAACCACAGACGACCAACCUCAUCCCCAUCUUUAAAUCCCAGUGAACGAUUCUGCUGUGUGAACGCCUGCCCGUCUGACUCACCACACUGGCGGUCGAGAGGAUCAAGGGAAGUGAUGACAGUGGAUGUGCUUAGGAGACCGUCAGGCUCCCUGGCAGGAUUGGGAGGACGGUCCCCUGCCGUUGUGAGAGGGCUUGUGGGAUCUUAGUUCCCUGAACUGGGCCCCAGGCAGUAGAAGUGCAGAGUCCUAACCACUGGACCACCAGGGAAUUCCCUCCCUCACGUUCUCUUGUAGGGAAUAUGCAUCCCACAAAGGUAACCACUAUUUGAUGUCUAUGACUGUUUUGACUGUCCUUGAAUUUCAUGUAAAUGGACACCUAGUAUUUACUCUUAUGGGUCUGACUCUUUUACUCCAAAUCACGUCUGUGAAAUCCAUUCGUAUUGCAUUUAUCAGUGGUUUGCUGUGUAGUAUCCCGUUGUAUGGAUGCACCACAAUUACUAGGGCUGGACACAAGGUUCUCUGAAUUCAGGUUUCCCUCCAACCUCUGGUCUGAAGGGAGGAUUUCAUGACACACUGCUCUCUGGUUGUUUGUCUUGAGCUCUCACUCUCUACUCCUCUGCCACUCCUCUUGGGGUGGAAGGGGCAGGGUUUCCAGGUUCUCCGCCUGUCUCUACAUCAUGCCUUCCUCCUUCUGAGGAGGCACUGGCCCUGCCUUCUUUCUUGGGCAGGGAGAGAAACUGGUUUACCAAGGAGGAGAUCCAGCAAGGUGAUACCUGCUGCUGAGCUGGUGCGGGACUCCUGACUGGGGAGGGAGAUUGGGGAGGGAGAAAACAGGCCAAAGGAGCGGAAGGAAAUCUUGGCAGUGGAGUGGGGGGUCCUGGACUUCCACAAGGCUGUGGCAUUGGGGUUGCACCAAGUUUAAUCAGCUCUCCCAGCGACUGGGGACCUCGAGCUGGAGUCUUUUUGCGUACAAGGAUGCCCAAGGACAGGGGUCACCUUGGUUCCUAGCCUGUCAAAGCAGGGCAAGGAGGAUGACUCAGAAAGGACUUGGAAAAGGCUGGCAGGACUGAGCUGGGGAAGCGGGCUACGGCUGCUGGAUGGGAGAACAGGUCUUCACUUGGGAGAUCCCUGUCCCCAGGAGGCCCUAGCCAAAGGCUAGGAUGGCCUUCUGGGGGCAUUAGAGAGCUUCUGAGCAGACGACCAUUUCUGGACCCCAGUGAGCUGGUUACAUUUUAAUUUAUUACGAUGUGUCAAAGCUCCAGCAGCUCCAGAGGGGAGCUGGCUGAGUGUCAACACUGGGUGUAUCCACUGCGCAUGCUGGUCUCCUUCUCACCCCUGUGCUCCAGCCACACUGUCCCCUGGGCCAAGCUGGCUCCUGCCUAGGGCUGUUGCACUGGUUAUGCCUUCUGCCUGGAAAGUUUUCUUCCCAUCAGUCCUCACAUGGCUGAUUUGCUCUGGUCAUUUAGCUCUCAAGGAGCAUGUCACCCCCAAAGUAAGGCCUUUCCUCACCACCUCACCUAAAGUAGCCAUCCAGUCAUGUCCCUGGAUCUUGAGAGCUGCUUGGGGGUCUUUCCACUUCUCCAGUUCUUACAGUCUAGGGGAAUCCAAAGCUUUCACAAGACUUCCGUGAAUCCCCAGUGGCUUACUUCACAUUUUCCAAUCUCUGGUCUAGAGGUGCUGGCCCUGUCUCACAUCUCUGGCUUUCAAAGGCAAAACAGUCACUUUUCUUGGUUCACGCAGAGCAAUUUCACCCCUUCCCCUGAAAUCUUGGUCCCAGUCUAUGUCCUGGGAGAGGUUCCUGCCUUCACUGGGAUUACAGACACAUUUUCUAAACAAUGGUUGUUUCCUGCACGAGAGGGAUUCUUGUUCUAUCUGCUAAAAGACUAACAGCAUUUUACUGUCAGGGUAAGAGGCAGAGUUGGGAUCUGAACCUGGAUUUGUCUGCUGAGUGUGGAGCCAGUGCUUUUAAACCGUUGCAUCAACUGUGUCCCCCAUAUCCUCAUUGAGGCUGCUGGUGACUUUCAGUAGUUACUCACAUACAGGUGCAGGCACACGUGUAUUUUCUACAGGGGAAAUGCUUGCUCAUCUGGCCCGUCUCAGGAGGCUGCUCCGAAGGCCGAAUAGCAUUUCUUACAGGCCAGCCAGAGCUAGCCGCAGGACAUCUGGUUGUCCCAUGCAAAUCCUCACUUGCACUAGAUGGAUGCCCGAGAGGGGGCGUGCGGCCAGACCUCUCGGUGCCAGGUAAGAUGCUCUUUGUACUGCCCAGAGCUGCUUCCUCACUUUCUUCCCUUCCUGUCCCACGCACUGGUUCCUCAUGUUGCUGUGUGUGGCCUUCACCCCUUACUACCCCUUUCUCUGACAAAGGAGUGGAAACCCCUCUAUUCCAGGCCUUAUUGUUCACCCCCUUCCAGUCGAUCGCCUUCAUCCACAAGGCUGACAGUCAUGUAAGCUGUCUGGACAUAGGUUAAUGUGGGUGAGGUCUUCAAUGUAGGGUGAUCAGGGCUGGGAGACCCCUAUGUGUCAGAAUGAGGAGGUCCUUCCUGUGUGUGUGUCUGUGUUCAUGCACGCGAAUGUUUAAAGCCAGGCAUUUAUCUACCUUGAAAAGCCUAGGAAUAGCCCUCUUUAAAAACAAUUGAGGGACUUCCCUGGUGGUCCGGUGGUUGAGACUCUGUGCUUCCACUGCAGGGGGCACAGCUUCGAUCCCUGGUGGGAACUAAGAUCCCACAUUCAGAGCGGAGCGGCCAAAAAAUAAAAACAAACAAAAAAACCCAACAAAAGACAAUUGAAUGCACCUGAGAUAAGUACUUUUGGUCCUGAACUAUUAGGAGUUUCUGGCAAGCUUUAUAUU